GUCAUGAUGGCCGAGCGGUCUAAGGCGCCAGACUCAACGUUUAAUUCCUUCUCAUAAUGCAUGGGAGAGCGUUCUGGUCUCCGAAUGGAGGCGUGGGUUUGAAUCCCCUUUCUGACA
Molecule: non-coding RNA, 117 nt
Organism: Nematostella vectensis (starlet sea anemone)
Lineage: Eukaryota; Metazoa; Cnidaria; Anthozoa; Actiniaria; Edwardsiidae
Source: Rfam